Molecule: non-coding RNA, 815 nt
Organism: Phascolarctos cinereus (koala)
Lineage: Eukaryota; Metazoa; Chordata; Mammalia; Diprotodontia; Phascolarctidae
Source: RefSeq, a predicted model, not a curated record
AAGCCAGGAGGUGGAAACGAGUUGGUGAGAGCAUUCCAGACAGCGAGGACAGCCAGAGAAAAUGACAGGAGCCUAGAGGUAGAAAGAGUGUUUGUGGAACAGCCAGGAGGCCAGCGUCACUGGAUCCAAGAGUACUGUGGGGAAGUAAGGUGUGAGAAGACUGGAAAGCAGGCAGGUUUGUGGAUUCCCAAGGUUUAGAGCUCCUGGGUCCCUGAUCAGUCCAGCAGCAGGAGGUUCUGCAUCAGAAAGGAUCUCACCCAUAGGAGGAGGAGCUCAGCCAUUGGCCUGGUUUACCAGACGACAUGAACCUGAAGGGAGUGUUUGGACAGUGCAGAGCUGAGGCUUCCCCCAAAUUAAACCCCAUGCAGACUGUGCAUGUGAAUGUGACCAGUGGAAAGAAUGCUGGAUCCUCUCCGUCUCAGAGGAAUUGUCAACCCACAGGACAAAAUCAGAGAUCUCUGAAGCUCAAAGGCUAUCUUAGCCCCAUCAAGGUAUAGAGGAGAACACUGAGGCCCAGAAGGAGUAAAUGAUUUGCCAAAAGAUCACCAGGUGGUAGAUCUGAGCCCAGGUCGUCUGCCUGCAAACCCACGGCUCGUUCCACUAGACGUUGGAGAGCAGCAUUGAUGUAAGAAAUAUUCAGUCAGUUCAGUGUUAUAAAGGCUGCUGGUUACUGCUGAAGAAUUCAAUCCUAAACCUUCCUAUUCAUCAUCUUAUUUCCCUGUGACUAAUUUAAUGAUCCUCAUACAAGCCUGUGAGGAAGAAGAAAGGAGAGAAGGAAGGAAGGAAGGAAAGGGAAAGAAGGAAGGGAGGAAGGA